GAGUGGCGCACGGGCUGCGUAACGCGUAUGCAACUUACCUUCAACUGGGAGAUAGCCCCUCGAAAGAGGGAUUAAUACCCCAUAGUAAUAUGAAGUGGCCUCACUUUAUGUUUAAAGCUCCGGCGGUUGAAGAUGGGCAUGCGUGACAUUAGCUAGUUGGUGAGGUAACGGCUCACCAAGGCUACGAUGUCUAGGGGUUCUGAGAGGAUGAUCCCCCACACUGGUACUGAGACACGGACCAGACUCCUACGGGAGACAGCAGUAAGGAAUAUUGGUCAAUGGACGCAAGUCUGAACCAGCCAUGCCGCGUGAAGGAUGACGGCCCUAUGGGUUGUAAACUUCUUUUGUACGGGAAUAAACCCAGGUACGUGUACCUGGCUGAAUGUACCGUAAGAAUAAGGAUCGGCUAACUCCGUGCCAGCAGCCGCGGUAAUACGGAGGAUCCAAGCGUUAUCCGGAUUCAUUGGGUUUAAAGGGUGCGUAGGCGGAUUUGUAAGUCAGUGGUGAAAGCCUACAGCUUAACUGUAGAACUGCCAUUGAUACUGCAAGUCUUGAGUACACUUGACGUGGGCGGAAUGUGUCAUGUAGCGGUGAAAUGCUUAGAUAUGACACAGAACACCGAUAGCGAAGGCAGCUCACGAAAUUGUAACUGACGCUGAGGCACGACAGCGUGGGGAUCAAACAGGAUUAGAUACCCUGGUAGUCCACGCCGUAAACUAUGAAUACUCGAUGUGUGCGAUAUACAGUACGCGUCUAAGCUAAAGCAUUA
RNAcentral lists this ribosomal RNA (769 nucleotides) under uncultured Bacteroidota bacterium. Its description in RNAcentral is "bacterial SSU rRNA". It matches the Rfam family "Bacterial small subunit ribosomal RNA", at positions 93 to 862 of the family's 1533-position model. The record is from RNAcentral. Lineage: Bacteria; Pseudomonadati; Bacteroidota.